RNAcentral lists this ribosomal RNA (373 nucleotides) under uncultured bacterium. Its description in RNAcentral is "bacterial SSU rRNA". It matches the Rfam family "Bacterial small subunit ribosomal RNA", at positions 527 to 898 of the family's 1533-position model. The record is from RNAcentral.
AGAGGGGGCAAGCGUUGUUCGGAAUUACUGGGCGUAAAGGGCGCGUAGGCGGCCUGCUAAGUCGAACGUGAAAUCCCCGAGCUCAACUCGGGAACUGCGUCCGAUACUGGCAGGCUUGAAUCCGGGAGAGGGAUGCGGAAUUCCAGGUGUAGCGGUGAAAUGCGUAGAUAUCUGGAGGAACACCGGUGGCGAAGGCGGCAUCCUGGACCGGCAUUGACGCUGAGGCGCGAAAGCCAGGGGAGCAAACGGGAUUAGAUACCCCGGUAGUCCUGGCCCUAAACGAUGAAUGCUUGGUGUGGCGGGUAUCGAUCCCUGCCGUGCCGAAGCUAACGCAUUAAGCAUUCCGCCUGGGGAGUACGGUCGCAAGGCUGAA